CCAGCACGUUGAGGUUGCCCGUGCCCACUGCCCUCAGGGCUGCUGACAGGGAAGCUAAGGCAGAUGUGACAGCCAUGUCUGGUCCCUGUAUGUGCUUGUUUGUCCCUGAAAACGAGACACCAAUAUCACUCGAGCCCCCUGGGCAUGCUUAGCUCCACCACACUGCAUCCAUCUGAUACAAACUGGAAGCCCACACUAUGAAAACAAAUAUUUCCGUCGGUGGGCUGUGAGGGGCUACGUUAUAAGUUCAUUGGCUUUUCAGUUUCAAGUGUACACUCAAGACUAAAGAGAAGGAGACUUCAGCAGAUUAAUUCAUCUGAUGACUGGAAUAAGAAGAUUUUCAGCUUGGUCUUCCCUAACAGCGAGGUCUAUUAUCUACAUAUGGAGGAAACGUGAAACAAUGAUGGACCUUCCCAGGAGUGGCCAGCUUACCAAAAUCCCUCCAAGACACCCUCAUCUAGAGGAUCACAAAACAACAUCUAAAAAAAACUGCAUGCUGCACUCAGUUAAGGCCGCAUUGUUAGCUUGAGCAGGCUCUUGGCAAACAGCGAUGCUGCGGUGGAGACUCUCAAUUCAGCCUGACCACCCUGCAGACGAGGGGCUUCUCUCCCACAGCCCUGCUCAUCCCUUCUCCGGGCCCCUGCUGUGCCUCCCCACCCCUCCCCUUUUUGCUGGCAGGUGACUCAGGAUAACAGAUGUUGGCCUGAGAGAGAGACGCUUCAUUGCAUUCACUUAGCGCUGCCAACACACCCAAUGUGAGCUUAGCCGACCUGCAGGGGUCCAGAGGACCAUCCCAUCAGCCGCCAGGAGGGAGAUACGGAAUACAGAUAUCAUCUUUUUUUGGAUUACAGGAAAAUGAAGAGAUUUUUUUGUUUUUUUUUAAAUCACAAAAUGCUCCUCAAUAAGCGAGCUGAAAACGUAAACAUCUGAGGGAUUCAGGAUUUCGAGGUGUGUGAGACAUUGAGCCACUUAAUCACAUAUUUGUCAAAGUGUGAUUUCUGCAGAGGAUCAGAGGACAGAGAAGCGAUCUAACCAAGAGUGUAUUUAACAGAAUCAGAGUUUAAGCCAUGUUGAUCCCCUAUGACAGCAUGUUUUAAAAAAAAAAUGGCAAAUAAAAUUGUAACUUAAUUAUAGAUUUAUAAUGAGCCACUGCACCACUGCCAAAAACAAGUCCCAUACCAAGCCAAACAGGCACCUGCUGAAUGCUCCCUGCUCAUGGGUUUUCAUAGCUUAAUUAAUCUAUGCCUUGGGGUAUCAUGACUUGUACGUGCUGCUUGUGUGCAUGUUUGAGACAAUUAAGUUGCUCCAAGAAACAGAGGUGCAACUUCAACAUGGAGCAGAGACACCAACGCACCGCACAUGGCAUAACACAUUUUGUGUUCUGUGAAAGUCGCAUCAAUUACCCAAUAAUUUGUUCACCGCUGAAGAAAAACAAGGGAAUAAAUGGCAAAUGUGUGAAAUGCUCUUUUUACAUAACUGAAACGCUGAUCAGACAGAAAGGGGAAUGCAGUUUCAAUUUAAAAUGUGUUUUCUAACCUUAAUUUCCACUUUACUGCAUCUGUUAGUUUAUAGUCAAUAUGAGUGAAAUGCCAAAGAAAUUUAGGGUUCA
Fundulus heteroclitus (mummichog) is the source of this 1609-nucleotide long non-coding RNA. RefSeq lists it as uncharacterized. NCBI's taxonomy places the organism in Eukaryota, Metazoa, Chordata, Actinopteri, Cyprinodontiformes, Fundulidae. The record is from RefSeq and is a predicted model, not a curated record. The transcript has 4 exons.